Meriones unguiculatus (Mongolian gerbil) is the source of this 106-nucleotide small nuclear RNA. The record is from RefSeq and is a predicted model, not a curated record. Lineage: Eukaryota; Metazoa; Chordata; Mammalia; Rodentia; Muridae.
UGGCUUCAGCAGCACAUAUACUAAAAUUGGAACAAUACAGAGAAGCUUACAUGGCCCCUGCACAAGAAUGAAACCAGAAACAAUUUUAAAUCAAAGAUAAAUAUUU